This is a non-coding RNA of Acanthosepion pharaonis, 114 nucleotides long. Lineage: Eukaryota; Metazoa; Mollusca; Cephalopoda; Sepiida; Sepiidae. The record is from the annotation of a GenBank genome assembly.
UACGACCACAUCACGUUAAAACACUUAUUUCUCGUCCGAUCACCGAAGUUAAGCAACGACGAACCUGGUCAAUACCUAGAUGGGUGAGCGCUCGGAAAUAACAGGUGCUGUAAG